GAUGAACGCUAGCUAUAGGCUUAACACAUGCAAGUCGAGGGGAAACGGCAGAGAGUGCUUGCACACUUUGGACGUCGACCGGCGCACGGGUGAGUAACGCGUAUCCAACCUGCCCUUUACUUGGGGAUAACCCGUUGAAAGACGGACUAAUACCCAAUGAUAUUCAUUGAUGACAUCUGAUUUGAAUUAAAGAUUUAUCGGUAUAGGAUGGGGAUGCGUCUGAUUAGCUUGUUGGUGAGGUAACGGCUCACCAAGGCCACGAUCAGUAGGGGUUCUGAGAGGAAGGUCCCCCACAUUGGAACUGAGACACGGUCCAAACUCCUACGGGAGGCAGCAGUGAGGAAUAUUGGUCAAUGGACGAGAGUCUGAACCAGCCAAGUAGCGUGCAGGAUGACGGCCCUAUGGGUUGUAAACUGCUUUUGUUUGGGAAUAAUCGACAUUACGUGUAAUGUUUUGCAUGUACCAUUCGAAUAAGGACCGGCUAAUUCCGUGCCAGCAGCCGCGGUAAUACGGAAGGUCCAGGCGUUAUCCGGAUUUAUUGGGUUUAAAGGGAGUGUAGGCGGUUGGUUAAGCGUGUUGUGAAAUGUAGGUGCUCAACAUCUGACUUGCAGCGCGAACUGGCUGACUUGAGUACACACAACGUAGGCGGAAUUCAUGGUGUAGCGGUGAAAUGCUUAGAUAUCAUGAAGAACUCCGAUUGCGAAGGCAGCUUACGGGAGUGUUACUGACGCUUAAGCUCGAAGGUGCGGGUAUCGAACAGG
RNAcentral lists this ribosomal RNA (761 nucleotides) under uncultured Prevotella sp. RNAcentral's name for it is "bacterial SSU rRNA". It matches the Rfam family "Bacterial small subunit ribosomal RNA", at positions 28 to 776 of the family's 1533-position model. The record is from RNAcentral. Lineage: Bacteria; Pseudomonadati; Bacteroidota; Bacteroidia; Bacteroidales; Prevotellaceae.